GAUGAACGCUAGCUACAGGCUUAACACAUGCAAGUCGAGGGGAAACGAUAGAGAAAGCUUGCUUUUUCUAGGCGUCGACCGGCGCACGGGUGAGUAACGCGUAUCCAACCUGCCCAUCACUUGGGGAUAACCUUGCGAAAGUAAGACUAAUACCCAAUGAUAUCUCUAGAAGACAUCUGAAGGAGAUUAAAGAAUUAUCGGUGAUGGAUGGGGAUGCGUCUGAUUAGCUUGUUGGCGGGGUAACGGCCCACCAAGGCGACGAUCAGUAGGGGUUCUGAGAGGAAGGUCCCCCACAUUGGAACUGAGACACGGUCCAAACUCCUACGGGAGGCAGCAGUGAGGAAUAUUGGUCAAUGGACGAGAGUCUGAACCAGCCAAGUAGCGUGCAGGAUGACGGCCCUAUGGGUUGUAAACUGCUUUUAUAAGGGAAUAAAGUGAGUCUCGUGAGACUUUUUGCAUGUACCUUAUGAAUAAGGACCGGCUAAUUCCGUGCCAGCAGCCGCCGCCG
This 508-nucleotide ribosomal RNA is filed under the name uncultured bacterium. Its description in RNAcentral is "partial 16S ribosomal RNA". It matches the Rfam family "Bacterial small subunit ribosomal RNA", at positions 28 to 523 of the family's 1533-position model. The record is from RNAcentral.